CUUACAGAGUUUCUUGGCAUUCUGUCCACCUCCACUUCUUGGCCCUAUCUACGUACUCGGAGGUGGAUAUACUGCCAAUAGAGCUGUGUUGG
Non-coding RNA from Glycine soja, 92 nucleotides. NCBI's taxonomy places the organism in Eukaryota, Viridiplantae, Streptophyta, Magnoliopsida, Fabales, Fabaceae. The record is from Rfam.